Molecule: long non-coding RNA, 3616 nt
Filed under: Homo sapiens (human)
Lineage: Eukaryota; Metazoa; Chordata; Mammalia; Primates; Hominidae
Description: long independently transcribed non-coding RNA 2359, transcript variant 6 (LINC02359)
Source: RNAcentral
AGUCACAUGACCCCAACUUAACUGCAAGGGAUGCUGGGCAAUAUAGUCCAGUAGUGUGGCUAGCAGGAAAAUUAAAGGGGUUUGGUGAAUCCAUUGCUCCUGCCAUCACCCAGAUUAAAGACCUGCCCUCUCAUCCGGUAAUUAUUAUACUCCCUUUUCUCAAUUAAGCAUCUUCAUCCAUGGAUUGUUCAUUUUAUGGGUAGAUAUGACUCCUUAGAGUAAGGACCAUGGCCUGUGAGCCAACUCCAAGCAGCUGCCUGUUUUUCUUAUGUCCAGCAGUCAGGGAUUGAGUGGGCAAGCACUGUGGGCUGCAGACACCAAGCUCCACCAUGAUUCCCCCUCCACUCUCAGAGGCUCCAUCCAGCUGGCAGGCUCACAGCACUGCAGCCCAGCAUCUGAAGUGUGCAAAUCAGAAAUUGAAAUAAAUGAAGCACGUCUUGAGCAGUGUCAUGGCAAAGGAGUCUGGCUUGUAGAAUGUCUGUCUCUGGAAAUUUGGAGAGCUGGGAGCAGGAGAUGUGAUCGUGGUUCACAACUGCAGCUGGUUUGGGUUGAGUUCUCUCAGUACCAAUACAAGGCGGAUCGAAAUCAGCAAAAUCAACACCAAAGUCACUACUACAAGAGGCAAAGCAUUAGGUGAACACAGCAAGAAGAGAAUUGACAUUGUCUUGGUGGCUAAUCAUGAAGCACAUGGUUUUGUUGUUCUACUAAUUGGCUUGUCACUCUGUCCUCAGAUGUCAACAUUGGUUUAUCACAUCAUAUUCCUCCUGACACAUCUCCUUCCCUCAGAAGGAUGAGUCCAUUAGUUAUGCACCAACUAUCAGAAACUUUUGCAUUGCUGGAGUUGAAGAACAAGUUUUUCACUUGUGUCAGGUGAUGAAGACAAAGUGUUGAUUUUUUGUUCAGAGAUAGAAGAAAACAAUUCUGAGAUACAGUGAGAAGCUCGGAAGAAGUAACCCAGUAUCUAAGCAAAGAGAGGGAUGUGGCUGGGAAUUGCUGGAACAGACUGAGAAACACCUGAAUUUUAAUUAAGCACCAUUACUGAAAAUCACAACACUACUAUUUUGUGGAAAAUAGUUGAGUUACAUGUGUUUAAAAAUAUAUAUAUAUGUUUAUAUAUAUACAUAAAACAUUGUAUGUUAUAUACGUAAUAUAACAUUAUAUAUAGAUAAUAUGAUGUGAUAAACCAAAGUUGUGGGUUAUAAUGAAAGACUACUUUAUUUUGUUGCUCAAAUUGAUGCAACUCUAGCCGUUAUAUAUGUAUGUAAACAUAUAUGUAUAUAUAGUUUGUUUUAGAAAAAAAUUACAUUUACAGAAAACUUUCAAAAAAUCUUAGGGAGAGUUCCCAUGUACUUCUCUUGGCUAUGACACUUUCUCAGACUUUCCUUUUUCAUGAUAACCUUUACAGUUUUGAGGAGAGCACUGGCUAUGAAUUUGUAGAAUUUCCCUCAAUUGGGUUUUGUCUGAUUUUUUAAAUAAUUAGAUGAGGGUUAUGUGUUUUGGGGAGGAAGCCCUCAGAGGUAAAGUCCAUUCUUAACAUUGCAUCACUGAUGUCAUGUCAAGGGUGCACAUCACCAUGAGUUAUCCCUGUUGAGGGUAAUCUCGAUCUUCUGAUGAGCCAGUGUCUUGCAAGCUUCUCCACUGUAAAAUUACUCUUUUCCUUUAUUUCCAUACUCUACUCUUGGGAAUGAAGUUGCCAUAUACAGCCCAGCCUUGACAAGGCUGGGGAUGGUUAUACUCCCAGCCUUUGAGGGCAGAAUUCUCCCAUAAGCUAUUUGGAAUCCUUCUGAAUGGGAAAUUAUUUAUUCUCACAAUUUACUUAUUCAAUCAUGUAUUUAUAUUAGUAUGGACACAUGGAUAUUUAUGUUGUGGGUUACAAUGAAAGACUACUUUAUUUUGUUGCUCAAAUUGUUCCAACUCUAGCCAUUGAGAUUUCUUUUAGUUAGUUCCUGUGUUGCUUCCAUAUAACCUCACUUUACAUCUUUUUCUUAAUUUUUGAACACUUUCUUUCAUGCCCUGCAAGAGGCCCCAGGUUCAUUCUAUAUCUCUCCUGACCUGGUCAUAUAAUCAGGCAUUUCUCCAAGGAAUCAUUUUUCAUUUUACUGGAGAAUGACAUUAGAAAGCAACCUUUGAGCACUAGGUGUGUUCAUUGUUGUCAAUAUCAUUGCUUCUUGGCCUCUCGACUGACAGAGCAUAUAAAUCUACAUGUGUAUACUAACCUGUGCACAUAUACAUAUCUAUAAAUAUCUUAGAUUUAUUUGUAUUUAUAUUAAGAUAAGCAUGAAUACAUGCUGAUAUCUCCAACUCUAAUCCAUUACUACGCAAAUCACUCUGUUCUCUUUCCCUUCAUUAUCUGUAACCGUCCAUGCCAACACUGAGAAUCCUGCAUCUCAGCAUCUUCCCUUUGCUUAUUUUUUCAAUUCCUAUACAUCUAUAUACUGUGAUCAUAAUUUUAAACCAGCACUUCAUAUGGAAGAUACAUUUAUCAACCAAGGUAUAGUGCUUACGUACAGGUUUUUAUGCCUAUAGACUUACAGAUUCCACUAACUUUCAACUUCCACCCCACUCAGUGAGGUGGUUUCAUGUAUUUUCAAUACAGUUACAUGUUCUUUCUCCGCUUUCUCCAUUUCUUCUUGGGUUUCUCCAAAUCUUUACAUGAUUUUUAACAUUUUUAUAUGUGAACAUUAACUCUUUGUGCUGUUGAGUCCUAUAGAUUUUGAUGAAUGUUACAUAUCCACCAUUACAAUAUCAUGCAGAAUAGCUUUAUGGCCAUCAACUAUUCCCUGUGCUUCCACUCUCUCCUUCUUUUUCAAACUCUUGCAACCACUGAUUUUUUUUUUUUUUUUUUUUUUUUUUGAGAUGGAGUCUCGCUCUGUCGCCCAGGCUGGAGUGCAGUGGUGCAAUCUCGGCUCACUGCAAGCUCCGCAUCCCGGGUUCAUGCCAUUCUCCUGCCUCAGCCUCCCGAGUAGCUGGGACUACAGGCGCCUGCCACUGCGCCUGGCUAAUUUUUUUUGUAUUUUUUUAAUAGAGAUGGGUUUCACCGUGUUAGCCAGGAUGGUCUUGAUCUCCUGACCUCAUGAUCCACCCGCCUCGGCCUCCCAAAGUGCUGGGAUUACAGGCGUGAGCCACUGCGCCCGGCCGAUAUUUUUAACUGUCAUCAUAAUUUUGUCUUUUCCAGAAUGUCACAUAAAUGGAAUAAUAGAUUUUGUAGCCUAUUUUAUAUUGGAUUUCUUUCACUUAGCAAUAUACAUUUUAGUUUUGCCCACGUGUUUCAAGAUGUACCAUAUGUCUGAUAUCUCAUGUGUUUCUCUCCGUGGAUAAUAUUCUGUUGCAUGGCAUGGAUGUACAGCAACUUAUUUAUCCAUUCACCUAGUGUAUGGUUCCUUCUGGUUUUUAGCAAUUAUUCAUAAUCAUCUAAAAACACUCACUUUUCCAUAGACAUAAAAUUUCAAAUCAGUUGAAAUGUGCUUGUUUUUAUAUGUUAAUACCUAGGAAUUUGCUUGUUUUUAUAUGUUAAUAAUAUAUCUUGUUUUGUAAGAAACUGUCAAAUUUUCUUUGAAAUGGCUAUACUGUUUUGCAUUUCCACUAGGAAUAAACAACAGCUUCCUGUUGCUCUGCA